RNAcentral lists this ribosomal RNA (492 nucleotides) under uncultured bacterium. RNAcentral's name for it is "partial 16S ribosomal RNA". It matches the Rfam family "Bacterial small subunit ribosomal RNA", at positions 29 to 507 of the family's 1533-position model. The record is from RNAcentral.
AGUGAACGCUGGCGGUAGGCCUAACACAUGCAAGUCGAACGGCAGCACAGUAAGAGCUUGCUCUUACGGGUGGCGAGUGGCGGACGGGUGAGGAAUACAUCGGAAUCUACUUUUUCGUGGGGGAUAACGUAGGGAAACUUACGCUAAUACCGCAUACGCCCUACGGGUGAAAGCAGGGGAUCUUCGGACCUUGCGCGAUUGAAUGAGCCGAUGUCGGAUUAGCUAGUUGGCGGGGUAAAGGCCCACCAAGGCGACGAUCCGUAGCUGGUCUGAGAGGAUGAUCGGCCACACUGGAACUGAGACACGGUCCAGACUCCUACGGGAGGCAGCAGUGGGGAAUAUUGGACAAUGGGCGCAAGCCUGAUCCAGCCAUAGCGCGUGGGUGAAGAAGGCCUUCGGGUUGUAAAGCCCUUUUGUUGGGAAAGAAAAGCAGCAGGUUAAUACCCCGCUGUUCUGACGGUACCCAAAGAAUAAGCACCGGCUAACUUCGUG